This 253-nucleotide ribosomal RNA is filed under the name uncultured bacterium. RNAcentral describes it as "partial 16S ribosomal RNA". It matches the Rfam family "Bacterial small subunit ribosomal RNA", at positions 524 to 776 of the family's 1533-position model. The record is from RNAcentral.
UACGUAGGCAGCGAGCGUUGUUCGGAAUUACUGGGCGUAAAGGGCUCGUAGGCGGCCAACUAAGUCAUACGUGAAAUCCCUCAGCUUAACUGGGGAACUGCGUGUGAUACUGGAUGGCUUGGAUUUGGGAGAGGGAUGCGGAAUUCCAGGUGUAGCGGUGAAAUGCGUAGAUAUCUGGAGGAACACCGGUGGCGAAGGCGGCAUCCUGGACCAAUAUUGACGCUGAGGAGCGAAAGCCAGGGGAGCAAACGGG